Molecule: unclassified non-coding RNA, 379 nt
Filed under: plant metagenome
Description: partial contains 5.8S ribosomal RNA, internal transcribed spacer 2, and large subunit ribosomal RNA
Source: RNAcentral
GGACUACUACCGGGAUCUCGCCAAGGAGGUCUUGACCCAUGGCGCGACGUAAAAGGGCAAGCAUGAGGGAGGGCCCCCUCGCCGACCUGUUCCGCUCGACGGAGGAGCCCGAGGAUCCGCCCGAGGCGCCGGCGCUGCCGCCGCGGCCCCAGGACACGGAGCGUGAGGACGAGACGCGCAACAUGCCCGCGGUGUCCGAGCCGGCCGCACGCGAGCCCGAGCGACCCGAGAGCCUCGACGACCCUUACGAAGAGGCGGCGCCCGCUCCACCUGCCCGCGAGCCUGAGCGACCGCGAGCCGCCACGCCGAUCUUCGACGUCGAGGAGGAGGACCCGGUCUCCGAGGUUUCCCGGACGCCUGGCGCCAAGGAGCGCCUGUC